This 437-nucleotide ribosomal RNA is filed under the name uncultured bacterium. RNAcentral describes it as "bacterial SSU rRNA". It matches the Rfam family "Bacterial small subunit ribosomal RNA", at positions 28 to 478 of the family's 1533-position model. The record is from RNAcentral.
GACGAACGCUGGCGGCGCGCCUAACACAUGCAAGUCGAACGAGAGAUGAAGAGCUUGCUCUUCAAAUCGAGUGGCGAACGGGUGAGUAACGCGUGAGGAACCUGCCUCAAAGAGGGGGACAACAGUUGGAAACGACUGCUAAUACCGCAUAAGCCCACGGCUCGGCAUCGAGCAGAGGGAAAAGGAGUGAUCCGCUUUGAGAUGGCCUCGCGUCCGAUUAGCUAGUUGGUGAGGUAACGGCCCACCAAGGCGACGAUCGGUAGCCGGACUGAGAGGUUGAACGGCCACAUUGGGACUGAGACACGGCCCAGACUCCUACGGGAGGCAGCAGUGGGGAAUAUUGCACAAUGGGGGAAACCCUGAUGCAGCGACGCCGCGUGGAGGAAGAAGGUCUUCGGAUUGUAAACUCCUGUUGUUGAGGAAGAUAAUGACGGUAC